This 859-nucleotide ribosomal RNA is filed under the name bacterium enrichment culture. Its description in RNAcentral is "bacterial SSU rRNA". It matches the Rfam family "Bacterial small subunit ribosomal RNA", at positions 28 to 904 of the family's 1533-position model. The record is from RNAcentral.
GAUGAACGCUGGCGGCGUGCUUAACACAUGCAAGUCGAACGAGGUCCAACCUUCGGGUGAAGACCGAGUGGCGAACGGGUGAGUAACACGUGGGGAACCUACCCUUCUCUCUGGGAUAACGUCGAGAAAUCGGCGCUAAUACCGGAUACUCCUUGCGGAUCGCAUGGUCUGCUUGGGAAAGCUCCGGCGGAGAGGGACGGCCCCGCGGCCCAUUAGCUAGUUGGUGAGGUAACGGCCCACCAAGGCGACGAUGGGUAGCCGAGCUGAGAGGCUGAUCGGCCACACUGGGACUGAGACACGGCCCAGACUCCUACGGGAGGCAGCAGUGGGGAAUCUUGCGCAAUGGGCGAAAGCCUGACGCAGCAACGCCGCGUGCGGGAUGAAGGCCCUCGGGUCGUAAACCGCUUUCAGCAGGGAUGAAACUGACAGUACCUGCAGAAGAAGUCCCGGCUAAAUACGUGCCAGCAGCCGCGGUAAUACGUAUGGGGCAAGCGUUAUCCGGAUUUAUUGGGCGUAAAGCGCGCGUAGGCGGCUUGUUAAGUCAGAUGUGAAAUCCGGGGGCUCAACCCGCGGCUUGCAUCUGAAACUGGCAGGCUUGAGUCUGGUAGAGGAAAGUGGAAUUCCUGGUGUAGCGGUGAAAUGCGCAGAUAUCAGGAGGAACACCAGUGGCGAAGGCGGCUUUCUGGGCCACGACUGACGCUGAGGCGCGAAAGCUAGGGGAGCGAACAGGAUUAGAUACCCUGGUAGUCCUAGCCGUAAACGAUGGGCACUAGGUGUGGGGGGUCAUCGACUCCCUCCGUGCCGAAGCUAACGCAUUAAGUGCCCCGCCUGGGGAGUACGGCCGCAAGGCUAAACUCAA